Small nucleolar RNA from Nannospalax galili (Upper Galilee mountains blind mole rat), 142 nucleotides. NCBI's taxonomy places the organism in Eukaryota, Metazoa, Chordata, Mammalia, Rodentia, Spalacidae. The record is from Ensembl.
GUCCAAGCUGAUUCCUUCUCCAAGGGGCUAACUAAUGCCCUUCUUAGGAACAUAGCAACUUGGAAGAAAAUCUGGCCUCCCUAAGGUUUUUGGAGAGCAAGGGAUGCAUACUUCCUUUGCCUCACUUUGGCUGCCUACAUGC